UUGAUCCUGGCUCAGAUUGAACGCUGGCGGCAGGCCUAACACAUGCAAGUCGAGCGGAUGACGGGAGCUUGCUCCUUGAUUCAGCGGCGGACGGGUGAGUAAUGCCUAGGAAUCUGCCUGGUAGUGGGGGACAACGUUUCGAAAGGAACGCUAAUACCGCAUACGUCCUACGGGAGAAAGCAGGGGACCUUCGGGCCUUGCGCUAUCAGAUGAGCCUAGGUCGGAUUAGCUAGUUGGUGGGGUAAUGGCUCACCAAGGCGACGAUCCGUAACUGGUCUGAGAGGAUGAUCAGUCACACUGGAACUGAGACACGGUCCAGACUCCUACGGGAGGCAGCAGUGGGGAAUAUUGGACAAUGGGCGAAAGCCUGAUCCAGCCAUGCCGCGUGUGUGAAGAAGGUCUUCGGAUUGUAAAGCACUUUAAGUUGGGAGGAAACAGUAAGUUAAUACCUUGCUGUUUUGACGUUACCGACAGA
This 475-nucleotide ribosomal RNA is filed under the name Pseudomonas putida. Its description in RNAcentral is "bacterial SSU rRNA". It matches the Rfam family "Bacterial small subunit ribosomal RNA", at positions 13 to 485 of the family's 1533-position model. The record is from RNAcentral. Lineage: Bacteria; Pseudomonadati; Pseudomonadota; Gammaproteobacteria; Pseudomonadales; Pseudomonadaceae.